AAUGGGCGAGAGCCUGAUCCAGCCAUCCCGCGUGCAGGAAGACGGCCCUCUGGGUUGUAAACUGCUUUAGACUGGGAAGAAAAGUAUGGUUUUAGUCAUAUCUGACGGUACCAGUAGAAUAAGCACCGGCUAACUCCGUGCCAGCAGCCGCGGUAAUACAGAUGGUGCAAGCGUUAUCCGGAAUCACUGGGUUUAAAGGGUGCGUAGGCGGCCAUGUAAGUCAGUCGUGAAAGCUUGUUGCUUAACGAUAAAAUUGCGAUUGAUACUGUGUGGCUUGAAUAUGGAUGAGGUAUGCGGAAUGUGACAUGUAGCGGUGAAAUGCAUAGAUAUGUCAUAGAACACCGUUUGCGAAGGCAGCAUACUGGGCCAUUAUUGACGCUGAGGCACGAAAGCGUGGGGAUCAAA
This 405-nucleotide ribosomal RNA is filed under the name uncultured bacterium. RNAcentral describes it as "bacterial SSU rRNA". It matches the Rfam family "Bacterial small subunit ribosomal RNA", at positions 370 to 772 of the family's 1533-position model. The record is from RNAcentral.